Molecule: long non-coding RNA, 407 nt
Filed under: Cercocebus atys (sooty mangabey)
Lineage: Eukaryota; Metazoa; Chordata; Mammalia; Primates; Cercopithecidae
Description: lncRNA (ENSCATG00000045474.1)
Source: RNAcentral
CAAACAACAACAACAACAAACAAACAAAAUGAGAGGUGCCUGCUUCUCUCCCCUCCUCUUUGUGUGACCACAGUGGCGGUCCCCAUGGCCCGGGACGUGGAGAGCCUGGCGCUGUGCCUGCGAACCCUGCUGAGUGAAGACAUGUACCGACUGGACCCCACUGUGCCCCGGAUGCCCUUCAGGGAGGAGGAUCCCCGAACUAGCCAGCAUCUUGAAGAGAUUCGUGGAGUGGGGACACCCAAGAAACUGCGGGAGCAGCACACAGCAGUGGAGGUAAUGCAUGCCUGGGAAGACCUUGAGGGGCUGCUGGAGCCGGGGCUGCAGACACCUGGGUAGUGCCCUGAGUGGUCAGAGUUAUGGCCUGGCCUGCAGAGGAGGCCCAGCUGGACCUGGGUGGGGGCGCUUGG